Molecule: long non-coding RNA, 894 nt
Organism: Phyllostomus discolor (pale spear-nosed bat)
Lineage: Eukaryota; Metazoa; Chordata; Mammalia; Chiroptera; Phyllostomidae
Exons: 2
Source: RefSeq, a predicted model, not a curated record
AAGUCGGCCUGGGCGCCAGAGUGGAUGCACGUGGGCACGGCUCUCUGUCCCGCGGUCGGGUGCCCAGGACGGAGAGCAGGGGUGGGGCGGGCCGAUUCCUGCUAGGCUCCAGAACUAGACCGGAGCUGGCUUAACAGGGCUGUGCUUGGGAUAGGGCUCCCCCCAUCCUCAGGCAGUUGAACUCUGCACUGAGUCGCCUGGUCGCCUGCCCACUGGACUCCGCUUGCUGCAAUUCCCUCACUGAAGCACUGGUGCCCCCUCCACCUGGAAGAGACAGGUGUGUCCCCUUCUAAAGACAACUCUUGCCAUCACUCUGAGAACUAGCCCGCUGGAGGAUGAAAGACCUACAGAGCAGAGCUGAGUCCUCGCAGCUGAGGCCACCCUGACCAGACAGCCCUCAGUUACUGCAGAGGCCCAAGCAAGUCCACAUGAGAUCAGCCAGGCUCGGUUCAGAUCAGCAGAGCCACCCACCCAACUGAGAGAUUCAUCAGAAACAAUAUUGGGUCAGUCAAAAAGUCUGUGUGAUUUUUUUCUGUAAAAUAAAAGACACAUUUUUCAUUCUCACCAAUAACUUUAUUGAUUUGGAUAUUUUGAGUAUGUUGGCUAUCUCCCCUAUGGUAUAAUGAUGCUUGUUCUCAAUUAAUGUCUUAAUUUCAUCAUUAUCAGCUUCAGCUAGUCUACCUGACUAUGGAACAUCGUUCAGUGAGAAAUUUCCAGCACAAAACUUCAAAAACCACUUUUGACAUGUUCAAUCAGUCACAGUACCUUCUCCACACACUGCACAAAUCUUUUUUGUGCUUCAUUUGCAUUUUUACCUUUCUCAAAAUAAUAAAGUAUAAUAUGCUGAAAAUGUUGCAUAUUUUCUUCUAUCUUCGAUAUAAAAAUGGCUACACA